Long non-coding RNA from Pyrus x bretschneideri (Chinese white pear), 3784 nucleotides. RefSeq lists it as uncharacterized. The transcript is spliced from 6 exons. Lineage: Eukaryota; Viridiplantae; Streptophyta; Magnoliopsida; Rosales; Rosaceae. The record is from RefSeq and is a predicted model, not a curated record.
GCCCUCUCUCUCCCCUCUCUGUCUCCCUUUCUCUCUCUCUUUCUUAGUAUUUACAAAGCUUUUGCCCUGCUACUUCCCACGAUUACCUGAAAUCCGUGGUCCCUUCACAGCUGCUCUCCGAACGAGGCUCCAACCUGGUCGUCAUCAACCCAGGUUCUGCAAACAUUAGAAUUGGCCUUGCUUCGAAGGACACCCCUCUAAAUAUUCCCCAUUGCAUUGCGUGGCACACCACACGAGCACAGGAGAAAUGUUCAAGACCAGGUUUCGUGACUAUGAGGACAUGCUAGAAGAUACAUGGCACAUGGAAUUUCCCAGAAGACCUGAAAUGUCAGAUAGCUUGUUUCCCAACAUGAACACCGGGUAUCCAAUGUGGGAUGGCUACCCAGCUUUUUCAGCUAAACCAAAGAAAGAAGAAAAAGUUGGCCUUGCAAAAGUCAUAACGAGUAGCAUUCUUUCAACAGGUAGGUUUCUAGAGUGUCACCUCACCUACUAAGCUUCUCUGUCUGAUACCUAAGCACCACUUGGUGGUUUGUUGACGGGACGUAUAGACCUCCAAAGAAAAUUGUUUUGCAGUAUACUAUUGGUUGGUAGAGUGGCUUCGACAAGAGGUCUUGUUCCUGCAGUGGAGGAAAGAUGAAUUUGGCUUAAUGAACCAGGGUUUCGAUUUUGCGGUUGCAUCUAGAAUGUGAGACUAGACUGCCUAUGUAUCCUUGAUGGAAUCAAAUGGCGUAGUUCUGGAAUGAUCAAUGAAUGAAUGACUCAAAGAAAGAUUUUGGUGUUUUGGUUUUGACUUGGUGCCUUGUGCAGUUUCUGCUCAUGCAAGCGAGGAGCGUUUGAUAUUUGAUGCAGCUUCAUGCCAUUUAGUAUUUGAUACGGCUUUAUGCCAUUUGGUGUUUGAUAUGGCUUCAUGCCAUUUGAAAUUCAACACAGCUUCAUGCCAUUUGAGACUUGUCGUGGCUUUGCACCAUUUGGGAUUUGAUGCUGCUUCGUGCCAUUUGGAUUUGAUGUGGCUUCAUGCCAUUUGAGAUUUGUCGUGCCUUGGUGUCAUUUGGGUCAACGCGGUAAUUUAACGGGAGCUUGAUCCAUUUGUUUUGACGUUGCGCAAAUCCACUGAUUUGAGGUGGUAAGUCUAUCGAGCUUUGUGCUUUGAGAUGGUUUGCGUCUACGGUAUUUGGAGUAAUAUGCAUUCAUGAAUUGUCAUGGUCGUCGUUGACUCCAUGUUUACUUGCACCAUAUUCAGUCAACGGAGCCCACGUGAACGGCAUUCCAAGUUUUGGAGGAGCUCUUAUUUUCCUCCCUUGCUGCAGCCCUCAGUGCUUUUGAAACUCUACAAGUUUGACUUAAGAAUCAAACAUAAUGAUGACUAAUAUUGAUGACUUAGUCAUAAUCAGGAUUAAUAUUUAAGUCGCAAGAGUUACUAAGAAAGUAGGCACUGGACGCUUCUUUUUGGUUUACAUCCACUUCUUGUAUACUUGCCCUCCAUCAUGUGGUGCUUUCGGUGCUCAGCAGAAGCAAAGAGGAAAGCCUUGUCACUUGAACAGCUCUUUAAUUUCAAUGCCACGUAAGUGGCUUUGUUCAUCACGUGCUAUUUGCUUUCUUCAUGGAACUUAUGAAAGCUCCGGAGACUUAUAAGAAAAUUGCAGCGUGUUUUCGAUGUUUGAAGCAGCAACACAUUAUAAUAUUUAGAGCAGCGAUAACCAACUUCAUAGAAAUGAUAGGAAAACAGAGAGUCCUUUGUGCAAUAGAUUUUUUUGGGAGCCUCCUUUUGACCUUUAAACAGACUUUUAGAACCCCAUGUUAUAUUGGUUGCAGUGUUAUGCGAGGAAGGAAGGGCUGCAGCGUGCGUUGAAGGAGAGUCCAAGAGAGGUAGAGAGAGAACUGCAGUGUGCUCACAGUCUCCGAAUGUCACCAGUUUGUUGUUGCCUUUCCAUUGUCUGCCGAGAUGAGGGUGCACGCUGCGGUCUCUAGGCUCACAGAUGGUGCUUUCGCUGGGCAGAGAGGAACGAGGAGUGGCCGUCUGGACCUUGGGGAGUCAACAGCGGCAGGGAGCGGAGAACGUCUCUCUUUCUUCUCUGCGUUUUCCGUGUCUGCUUGCCAACCGCAUCUUUGCCUUCAUGUUCCGCUGCCUUCUCUCCUUCUGCAACUGUUUCUUUGGCAUCGUCUUCGUUGGCCCUUGGUGCAUGCUUGAUAUCCAAUGUUGCUUCGCCGCGGUUGCAAGUGUGGAUUGUUGCAUUGUCCCUGGGGAGGUUAACACUGGCGGUAGUGAUUGCUGCAGUAGCCGUGCUGUCAGAUCGGGAACGGCUCCGGGAAUGGUGCAGGAGGAUGUGAGCGAGGAAAGGGGAGAGCUCCCUGGUGGAGGAUCCGAGAGAGAAGUGGUGCAGCCUUGGAAAUUCAAGGUGGAAGGAGGAGGUUUAUCCUUCUGAUGGCUGCGAUGGUGGAAGUUUCACCAUUUUCUUUGCUUUGGUGAAAAUAAGAAGAGCCAAGUCUUGUUUCUUUUCCUAUGCAAAAAGCUGAACCGACACACCAAGACAAAGAACAAAUUAUAAACGAUUCUAACAGAUGCUGCUAUUCUCAAGCGUCAAAAGAAAGAAAUUGGGGAGCUUUGAGCCAAAAUUGCAGGUUAAUUAUAAAUAUAGAUCGCCUACGUAAAAUAGAGGAAUUUAAAUAUUCCGCAUGUUUUAGGAAUCUCAUUCAGAAAAGUUGGGCAGCGGACAUCCUCAAUCUGCAAAACACGUCAUUGCAGGUUUGGAAUAUACACUUUGUGUUUAUUGUAAUUAGUUGAAUGCAAGUGUAUUCUGGGACAUGCGUACUUUCUGUGCAGACCGAGUUAGAGAGGGAGCGUAUGGCUUUGGAGUUGGAGGAGGAAAAAAAAGCCCAGGCUGAAAGAGAGAAGAUGGUGUAACAGCAAGCUAAGAAAAUUGAGAACCUGAGCUCAAUGGUGUUGUUGCCAAUGAACACAAAAAUAUGUGCUCGAUAGUCUAAUGUGCCGUUGCCAAUGAGAUAAGAUUUAGUUAAACACUCUCUGUUGAAUCGAUAAAUUUAGCACGUUACAGGUUAGGAGACGUGGUCGUGCCAACUCGAGAACUCAAGACAUGCCUCCAAUUUUGCCUUCACACGCUUCCUGGUUUUUAUUUGGAGCAAUUGGAGAUGGCGACCCAAAAUAAUAACUAGCCAAGGUAUAAUUGAGUUUUCCAUUUUAUUAAUUGUCAUUUGCAGAGAGAUAAAUAGAGCAGUUAUGUAUGAGUGUCAGAUUUCUUCGUCUACAUUGAGGUUAGUCAAAUGGUUGAAACAGUUUGUUGUUUUAUUUGCAUUUUACAACUUUCAUUGAGGUUAGGUGUUUUGGAAAAGGUAUUUUAUGUGCAUAAAGGCUAUUAAGCUUAACAAAUUGUACCCUCUUGCUAGCUUCAUCAGCUUAUGUUUGUGAGGCAAAAAGGAGAUGACUUGGUUGUUUAAUCAAGUUAAUAAUUUGAUUAAAACAAUCCAUUGUGGCUACCUAUUAACUGUUAUUUGAUUGAAUUUGGUUUUCUCAAGAUUCAGGAUUAUGUUCACUACACUCCGCGGUGAAUUAGAGAAGUUUGAUUGACUAUGAGGCAGCGUGGGAUUCUACUAAAUUUUAGUUAUGGCUCUCAUUAUUGACUACUUUCUCUUAAUUUCUCUUUUGUAGAACAACAUUGUUAAUUGUCUUCAUAUGUUCAGAUUGAUUUCUUCUGCUUUCUGUUACACCAUACGCUCAAUAACAAUGAUGUAGCCUGGUUUGCUAUACAAAUACGUUUUUUUUGUUACA